RNAcentral lists this long non-coding RNA (1375 nucleotides) under Calidris pugnax (ruff). RNAcentral's name for it is "lncRNA (ENSCPUG00000002879.1)". Lineage: Eukaryota; Metazoa; Chordata; Aves; Charadriiformes; Scolopacidae. The record is from RNAcentral.
CCACAGACAAGCAGUGUGCCUUGUCUGUAAAGAUCCGGGGGAUCUUUAUAACUUGGACCCCUUGGUUUUCUCUUGGUAAUAACCAGCCUUUGUCAUUUGUCUGCUGGCUUGGCACAGUCUGGCCCACAGAGUCCAGCAGAAGUCAGCCCUAAGGUGGUGCUAAGGGUAUCCUCACCUGAAAGAUAUCUGGGUUUGAAAAAAGUGUUCAUGUUCAGAGAUAAAAUUGAACAGCCCUAAGGAAAGAAAAUCCUGCUUCUCUCUUUUUGCAGCGCCUGGCUUGGGAUAAAGUAGUUCAUAUAACUUUCAGGUUAUUUAUCUCUUUCUAUUAUUCCCUUAAAAAUAUGAAUACGAAAUAAAAGUCUCCUUUCAAGAAGAAGAAUGGAAGCAUGUGCAAAAAGAAAAGGUGAAAUGAAACAUCUCAACUACUCUGAGCUACCCAUUUCUAUUGAACAAAUUUCCUGCAAUUUGUGAUUCAUGUCAGCACCUCGGAAGCUGCAUUAUUUCCAGCGAAUUUAUGGCGCCUCCUUUUUUUCCUUCCCAGAUGAAAUGAGCUAUAUCUUCCACUGCAAAUUGUACCACCCAGCCUCCCACGAAGCAAGGCCACGGGUGUGCGUGCGGAGACCUUCCCCAGCUGAAGGAAGGGGUAGCUGGAGGAUCUGAGUCCUGAUGGUGCAAACCCCUUUGACCGCAACUUGCUCACCAGCUCACAAGUUUGUAAACCUGCUGCAGACUCCUCACUUCUUAAAUUACCCAUGUGAGAUGAAGCGUGUCCUGAUGUGGUUUCAGCUACAGCAACAUUGGAACCUAUCAUUUCAACUUAUUCCUGUUGCCUCCAUGGAUCAGCAUGAAGUUGGGCUUUGCUCCUUGACAGCCAUCGCUUCGCCAGGUUGAACAAACCCACCUCCUUCAGUGUCUCCUCACAGGGCAAGUGCUCCAGCCCCAGCCAUCUUGAUGGCUGAAGGAAAGUACAAAUUCUGUGCUGUAAAUUUGCUGCAGGCUUGGUUGGGGUUGAACUCCUUGACUUUCCUAGUGACACAGGUUUGCUUUGGCAUAUGCUCUUCCAGGUUUCCUACUAUUUCCUCUCUAGAUUACUGAUCUCUGGACAUAUUGGCAAUCUCUGUGUCUUUUCUGUGUCAAUGAUUCCAGUAAGAUUUUUUGGGGGUGCAGGAUGAGCGUUGAUGGGAAGACAUGGACAGCAACAAACUCCACCUUUUUGCUCUGGUCCUGCGGCUGAAUUGAUGCAUGAUUUUGGACAGCUGGACACAGGGUUGGCAAGUAAUCCAACACCCCUUCAUGUCCUUUUGUAGUAUUAUAACAGAGUGCACUAUGCAACCAGGUACAGUCCCAGUGGGACGAGUCUGGGCCCUGGAUUUUU